ACUACGGAGAGUUUGAUCCUGGCUCAGGACGAACGCUGGCGGCGUGCUUAACACAUGCAAGUCGUACGAGAACGAGGUAGCAAUACCUUUAGUAAAGUGGCGCACGGGUGCGUAACACGUAAGUAACCUGCCUUUAGGUCUGGAAUAACCCCGCGAAAGCGGGACUAAUACCGGAUGAUGCAGCGGAUCCGCAUGGAUAUGUUGUUAAAGUCUAUACGGCACCUAAAGAUGGGCUUGCGUCCGAUUAGCUAGUUGGUAAGGUAACGGCUUACCAAGGCUACGAUCGGUAGCUGGUCUGAGAGGAUGAUCAGCCACACUGGAACUGAGACACGGUCCAGACUCCUACGGGAGGCAGCAGUGAGGAAUAUUGGGCAAUGCCCGCAAGGGUGACCCAGCAACGCCGCGUGGAGGAUGAAUGCCGUAAGGUUGUAAACUCCUGUUAGAGGGGAAGAACAAUCCCGAUCAACUCGGGACAUGACUGUACCCUCAGAGAAAGCCCCGGCUAACUACGUGCCAGCAGCCGCGGUAAUACGUAGGGGGCUAGCGUUGUCCGGAUUUACUGGGUGUAAAGGGCGCGCAGGUGGGUCUGCAAGUCAGGGGUGAAAUCUCACGGCUUAACCGUGAAAGUGCCUUUGAUACUGCAAAUCUUGAGUUCGGAAGAGAGAGACGGAAUUCCAGGUGUAGUGGUGAAAUACGUAGAUAUCUGGAAGAACACCAGUUGCGAAGGCGGUCUCUUGGUCCGAUACUGACGCUCAGGCGCGAAAGCGUGGGUAGCAAACAGGAUUAGAUACCCUGGUAGUCCACGCUGUAAACGAUGAAUACUAGGUGUUGGCUCUUUUAGGGUCAGUGCCGCAGCUAACGCAUUAAGUAUUCCACCUGGGGAGUACGAUCGCAAGGUUGAAACUCAAAGGAAUUGACGGGGGCCCGCACAAGCAGUGGAGCAUGUGGUUUAAUUCGAUGCAACGCGAAGAACCUU
RNAcentral lists this ribosomal RNA (976 nucleotides) under Ignavibacteriales bacterium. RNAcentral describes it as "bacterial SSU rRNA". It matches the Rfam family "Bacterial small subunit ribosomal RNA", at positions 1 to 972 of the family's 1533-position model. Lineage: Bacteria; Pseudomonadati; Ignavibacteriota; Ignavibacteria; Ignavibacteriales. The record is from RNAcentral.